RNAcentral lists this transfer RNA (67 nucleotides) under Cadlina koreana. Its description in RNAcentral is "tRNA-Glu". Lineage: Eukaryota; Metazoa; Mollusca; Gastropoda; Nudibranchia; Chromodorididae. The record is from RNAcentral.
GUCUUUUUGGUGAAAUUAUCACAUCACUUUUUCAAGGUGAAAUUGAAUUUUAUAAAUUCUUAAGAUA